UUGUUCUUUAAAUGAGGACUCGUAUGAACGGCUUCACGAAUGCUAUACUGUCUCCUUUAUCCAAUCAGUUAAACUAAUCUCCCCGUGAAGAAGCGGGGAUUCACCUAUAAGACGAGAAGACCCUAUGGAGCUUUAAACACUCUUAAACAUUUGAACCCUUUAUUAUUUACCUCCAGAAAACUUCACUAAACCCCCUCAUUUUGUUUAAACUUUUAGGUUGGGGCGACCACGGAGAAAAACCUAACCUCCACGUGGAAAGAAACUUAAUUCUAAGCAAAAAGCCACAUCUUUAUGCAUCAAUAAUAUUGACCUAAAUUGACCCAAUUAUUUGAUAAACGAACCAAGUUACCCUAGGGAUAACAGCGCAAUCCGCUUUAAGAGCUCCUAUCGACAAGCGGGCUUACGACCUCGAUGUUGGAUCAGGACAUCCCAG
RNAcentral lists this ribosomal RNA (433 nucleotides) under Allobates fuscellus. Its description in RNAcentral is "partial large subunit ribosomal RNA". It matches the Rfam family "Bacterial large subunit ribosomal RNA", at positions 1969 to 2550 of the family's 2925-position model. Lineage: Eukaryota; Metazoa; Chordata; Amphibia; Anura; Aromobatidae. The record is from RNAcentral.